CAUGAGAAUGUUGCAUGAGAGAUUGGUGCUGAAAAUUCUCCAACAAUCCGCUGCUUUUUGCAUUCAAGCUUUGUUGUUUCAUAUAUGGCAAGCUGAGUCUCAUGUACCAUAAGGAAGUGGAUCUGGUCCUGGUGAAAUUGAACUUGGGUGUUUGACAUUGCCACAGGCGUCUUCCCUGCUGGAAUUUGCACCGAAGUGUUCUUUUGUCUUUCCCAAUUGUCAGAGCUCCACAAAAUAAUCUGAGCAUCAGCCCCAGAGGAAACAAGCACAUUCAGCACAUGGGAGAAGGCAAGGCCAGUAAUUCUCUUAGAGUGGCCCUUAAGCUUGCACUUAAUCUCAUCCACGCGAACAUUAUAAAUGUGUAUUGUGGAAUCAUCCAUGCCUACUGCAAUUAUAUUAUUAUCUUGAGGAUGGAAAGCAAGAUAUGUUGCCGCAGGUGGCGGAGACAUGAAUGUUGUCAUUGUCUUAAAUGUCAUGGUGUUGAACAAGGAAAUUUUCCCUCCAGAU
This 507-nucleotide unclassified non-coding RNA is filed under the name Hevea brasiliensis (rubber tree). The record is from RNAcentral. Lineage: Eukaryota; Viridiplantae; Streptophyta; Magnoliopsida; Malpighiales; Euphorbiaceae.